RNAcentral lists this ribosomal RNA (400 nucleotides) under uncultured bacterium. Its description in RNAcentral is "bacterial SSU rRNA". It matches the Rfam family "Bacterial small subunit ribosomal RNA", at positions 362 to 776 of the family's 1533-position model. The record is from RNAcentral.
UAUUGCACAAUGGGCGAAAGCCUGAUGCAGCGACGCCGCGUGAGCGAAGAAGUAUCUCGGUAUGUAAAGCUCUAUCAGCAGGGAAGAAGGAAAUGACGGUACCUGAGUAAGAAGCCCCGGCUAACUACGUGCCAGCAGCCGCGGUAAUACGUAGGGGGCAAGCGUUAUCCGGACUUACUGGGUGUAAAGGGAGCGUAGACGGUGAAGUAAGUCUGGAGUGAAAGGCGGGGGCCCAACCCCCGGACUGCUCUGGAAACUAUUUGACUGGAGUGCAGGAGAGGUAAGCGGAAUUCCUAGUGUAGCGGUGAAAUGCGUAGAUAUUAGGAGGAACACCAGUGGCGAAGGCGGCUUACUGGACUGUAACUGACGUUGAGGCUCGAAAGCGUGGGGAGCAAACAGG